CCGAGGUCCGCCGCGUGCUGAGAGUCAUGGCGGCUCCUGUCUGCGCGGCACCCGCCCGGCAGCCUCAGGCCCGUGGUGGUGGUCUUCCUUUAGCAUCUGUUGAGAAGAUGGGAAGCAGAGCUCCAGGUUCCACCUUAAAAAGUGAUGGACUCAGAAGAACCGGAAGCGGAUGGAAGCAAGACUUCCUGUGGUCACCUGCAGUGGGAAAGCAGAUAUGUCUUGCAUGGUCUAGCUCAUGCUAAAAAGGUGUUGGCUGUGGAUUUAGAAAAGUCACAUGAACAUCCAUCAUCUUGAGAAUCCAUCAUCAGCAUGAGAAUCUUUGAUGACAUUUUGGUGUGUGGUGCAGUUUCAGUCUGAGUUUCUGGGACUGAAAAGGGAGCUGUGGCAGCCACCUGGACCCACGGUGGAGUACCCCGUGCAUGGAAGGAGAGCCCCUGAACAGGCUGCCUUGGGGUCCACGGCUGUGCUGAGUAGAGGGGGCACUUUAUCAGAGUUCUUUCUUUUCUUGGCCAGCUUCCUGCCCUUAACUGCUUUGCCUCA
This is a long non-coding RNA of Dipodomys ordii (Ord's kangaroo rat), 540 nucleotides long. RefSeq lists it as uncharacterized. NCBI's taxonomy places the organism in Eukaryota, Metazoa, Chordata, Mammalia, Rodentia, Heteromyidae. The record is from RefSeq and is a predicted model, not a curated record. The transcript has 4 exons.